RNAcentral lists this ribosomal RNA (460 nucleotides) under uncultured bacterium. RNAcentral's name for it is "partial 16S ribosomal RNA". It matches the Rfam family "Bacterial small subunit ribosomal RNA", at positions 338 to 795 of the family's 1533-position model. The record is from RNAcentral.
CCUACGGGAGGCAGCAGUGAGGAAUAUUGGUCAAUGGGCGCGAGCCUGAACCAGCCAAGUAGCGUGAAGGAUGACUGCCCUAGGGGUUGUAAACUUCUUUUAUAUAGGAAUAAAACGACGCACGUGUGCCAUUUUGUAUCUACUAUAUGAAUAAGGAUCGGCUAACUCCGUGCCAGCAGCCGCGGUAAUACGGAGGAUCCGAGCGUUAUCCGGAUUUAUUGGGUUUAAAGGGAGCGUAGAUGGAUUGUUAAGUCAGUUGUGAAAGUUUGCGGAUCAACCGUAAAAUUGCAAUUGAUACUGGCAGUCUUGAGUACAGUAGAGGUAGGCGGAAUUCGUGGUGUAGCGGUGAAAUGCGUAGAUAUCACGAAGAACUCCGAUGGCGAAGGCAGCUUACUGGACUGCAACUGACAUUGAGGCUCGAAAGUGUGGGUAUCAAACAGGAUUAGAUACCCCGGUAGUC